This 253-nucleotide ribosomal RNA is filed under the name uncultured bacterium. RNAcentral's name for it is "partial 16S ribosomal RNA". It matches the Rfam family "Bacterial small subunit ribosomal RNA", at positions 524 to 776 of the family's 1533-position model. The record is from RNAcentral.
UACGAAGGGGGCUAGCGUUGCUCGGAAUCACUGGGCGUAAAGCGCACGUAGGCGGGUUGUUAAGUCGGGGGUGAAAUCCUGGAGCUCAACUCCAGAACUGCCUUCGAUACUGGUGACCUUGAGUCCGGGAGAGGUGAGUGGAACUCCGAGUGUAGAGGUGAAAUUCGUAGAUAUUCGGAAGAACACCAGUGGCGAAGGCGGCUCACUGGCCCGGUACUGACGCUGAGGUGCGAAAGCGUGGGGAGCAAACAGG